Long non-coding RNA from Falco peregrinus (peregrine falcon), 3632 nucleotides. RefSeq lists it as uncharacterized. Lineage: Eukaryota; Metazoa; Chordata; Aves; Falconiformes; Falconidae. The record is from RefSeq and is a predicted model, not a curated record. The transcript is spliced from 3 exons.
GUGGUGGCCAUCCUAGUCACACUUUGUGCGCAGAUGUGUUUAUCUGCUACUAAUUAUUAUCCAAAUGAUUUGCAUCUUCUCUCGGACUCGGCCCAACUCCCCUUUGUGAGCGAACCGCUGCCUAUUUUUGCCUCGCUUGUUAAAUGAGUUGCUUUAGCGGGUGAAUUUUGCGGUGCUGAUUCAGAAGCUGCAGGACAAUCUCCUCUAAGACCCUGCACCCUCUGCUGUGGCUGUGGCCAUGGGAUGGGGGGAGAUGGCCUCGGGGACCUCCCACAAGCAAUGGCCACUGGGUUUGCGUUGUUUUACUCAGAGAGCCUUCAUCCCGAUGCUGGGGAGGAUGGGGCACAGGGUCAGUAUGAGGUCCACCGGGUUUAACCGAGGGAUUGUAGCAUCUUCUGGAGCUUCUUUAACAAAACAGUAAGGCUGCUUCAGGUGUGUAGUGCCACCGCUACAAACAGCUCCCAGCAAAGGUGAGUCUUAUUCCUAACUCAUUCUCCCAGGCUCAUUUUUCUGUCUUCACGAGAAAUGCAAAUAUGGAUUUUAAAAUAGUCAUUAACAGCUUCAGUGGUAAAUAUUUAACCCAGCAACCUUGUACUUUCUCCUCCCUCUGUCUCCCGGGGGACGUGCACAGUGGAGGUGAGCUGGCGGGAGAAAGUGCAGAUUAUGCAGGUCUUGAUAGAUCACUUUGGUCCUUUUAUCAAAGCAUCUUCCUACCCGAGUUAUUUCCCCCCUGCUUCAGCUGUUCACUGCCUGAGCUGGCCCUGGCCCACUGGUGGGCACUGUGUGUGGGGGGGUUACGGCGGGGUUUUCUGGCGAAGGUUCAGCCCCCUGCAGGGGAGGGCUGUGUUGGGGACACAGCGUUAGGAGUCACCAAACCCAGGGCUGGCUAACGGGGCACCGCAGCUCUGGCUGCCUGUCCUAGCAGAAAUUAAAGAGAAUUUGUGUCUCUGAGAUCUUAGGAGGCCAUGACCUGGAAGUAGCUUUUAACGAAUGGAGACAGUCUUGAAAAGUCCCUUGCAGACCUUAGCUGCAAGGUCAGACCUUACCUGCUCUGCGCCUCACUGAUUUUAAUUUCCCACACGAGCUGCUGGCUAAUUCAAGCCAGAAUUGUGGCUUUAUUUUGUUUUCCAGUUCUUAUCUCCAGGUGACACGGAACUGCUCCCCAUCCAAACUGCCAGAACAAUUUUCACCCGACAUCCACACCUUUGGUCCUGGAGUGUUCGAGGAGGGACCACGCUCCCAUUACUGUUGAUAGAAAAAGGCACCCAGUUGGCUUCCUAUGGAAGCAGCAUGGAAACAGGGAUAAAAGCGAUUGAAACAGAUAGCAGGGCUGCGAGGGGAUGCUGUGAACAGAGCAUGCUUUGAUUAACACAGCAAUUAGAGCAUCUAGGGGAGCAGGAGAGAGAAAGCUGUCCAAAGGGGUUUCAGUCUCAGAGAUUCCUGGUGGACUCUUUCAGAGAAGUUGUUAUAUCCGAAGAAAUUUGAAUUUUUCCCAAAGAGGUGGAAGCUGCUCCUCCGCUGGCACAGGUGCUCCCUGCCCCCCCCUGCAGUGGGACAGGGUGGGGUGCUCGGGUGGGAUGAAGGGGUUUUCCUGCAGCCAGCGACGAGCAGCUUUUCAUUUACUCACUCGGGCAUGUUCAGUACUAAAAAUGUUGCACCCAGCUCCAAAACCUGAGUGACACAGCCCGCAUAAGAGAUGAUCUGAGUGCUUUCCUCUGCUGUUUCCCACAUGCAGGACAAUGCUGACAGAUGUGGGAGGGCGGUGGGGGUUGAUCAGGCCCCAAACCCCAUCCCAAGGCAUCAACAUCAUCACUGCCAGCUGCUGGAAGGCACAGCCAGCGUCCUUCUUCCUUGUACUCCAGGGUUAAAAGAAGAAAAAAAAAAAAAAAGGGAAGGGAGAGAAACUGAGUUCUCGUUUUGUUGCCAUAGCAGCCUUCUGGAUUAUUUAGACUGAUAGCAUUUGUAAAAAUUCAACAAACGGUAGAGGAUCUCUUGGAAAUGGGAGCAGAUGUAACAUUGCGUGCCAUAUGCCACUGGGAGAAAAUCUAUUGGCAAAGGCAACAUCAUCAGAGUGAAAGCCUAACCCAUAUUGUGCAGUGGAAAAUGUCACUUUCCCUAGAUUACAGGGUAGAGCUAUAAAGCAGAGAAAAUUAUGUUCACAUAUAUAAUUGCUGAAAGACGUUCAGCAAAGAGCCGAGCCGCUGCUGUGGGAAGGUGGGCUUUUUCUCCCAUCCAGAACUUGAUGAACCGCCAUGUGAUACAAAGAAAAGGUUGUUAACAUUAAAAAUUAAUUAACCCUCACACGCAGCUUAAUGGAACUCACUCCUGAGAAAUCCUGCCCGCACAAUAGAUGAAUUAUAAGGGUCUCUGCGAGAGCGGGUGAGUGUCAGAAGGACGGGGCCAGGCUCUUUUCAGUGGUGCCCAGCGACACGACAAGGAACAACGGGCACAAACUGCAGCACGGGAACUUCCGUCUGAAUAGGAGGAAAAACUUCUUCACGUUGAUGGUGCUGGAGCCCUGGGACAGGCUGCCCAGACAGGCUGUGGGGUCUCCUUCUCCAGAGAUGUGACCCUGUGCGACCUGCUCUAGGUGACCCUUUACUGGUCUGGGUGGUCUCCAGGGGGCCCCUUCCCACCCCAACUGUUCUGUGAUUCUAUGAUCUGAGGCCAGCCCAUCCAACACUUGGGGGGUGGAAGCCUGGUGGGGGGAAGCUGUGGUUCUCAGGGGUCUCCUAUUGCUUGGUUGUGAUGUUGAUGAAGAAAGCCCUGGCAGCUGCCUGCCCCUGGCAUUCCCCACCAGCAGCUUCACAGGGCAAAAGUUCCUAUUUUCCGUAAAACUCACUGCUGGUGUUUGCAGGAAGCUGAACUCCCCACUUCGGCACAUUCUCCCCAGCUCUUCAUUGCUCAGAAAAAAGGAGAAAUUAAUAAUGAUUUUUAAAAAAAGGAUAGAAACUUGUUAACCCACAGAUUUUUUUGAUCAAGAGCAGUUCCCUGGGGUAAAUAAGAAGCAGCAGUGGGGGGAUGGUGGAGCUGGUUUCCCCCCGCAGCUGCCGGGGAGCACGGGGACCUGUCCCAGUGCCAGUGGUGGCCGGGCUUGUCCUCCCCACGCCUCUCCCCAUGCCUCCAGCAAGCCCGGCCAUCACCCUGGGCACCACUGCCUGUGGGCGGCUGGGCUUUUUUUUCCUGUCUGCUUUCAAGGGAGAUGUUUCUACCCGCUGGAAGUCUUCACGGCAGUUUGUAAUUUGGAGCACAGCUGCGAGGACCACCUCGCAUCACCAGGACCCUUCGCUGAAGCUCCCUUCGAUGGAGAGGCAGGCAUGCCCAGGUACCUCCAGGAACAUGAGCCGAUCAGGGCUUUCGGAAGCCAGGUGGAGCGAUGGAAAACCCCAGGCGAAGGCUGCUGCCAGCUCCGUGCCACCUUGCGGUGCCGGCACCCGGCGCGCAGUGCCGGGGAUGAGCUGACUCUGGCCGAGACAUCAGCAGCGCUGCUGAAACCACUGGUGUCCGCACCAACACAGCCCCGCAUCGGCUGAGCGCGGAUGUGAUUACUUGCUUUGUCCUACAUGUAUAUUUCUAGGAAUCAAUAGCUAUAAUCUCACCAGAGCACACCUUAGCAUAGCCUAAUAAAUCAU